GCAGUUCAAGGAUGUCAGUAGGUUGUGCAGAUGGUUCUGGAGCUUGGCAGAGAGCUCCGGGCAUGGCCAAAGCUCUAGGAACGUCCGCCACCCGAAGGGCUGCUGCCUCUGUGGUGUGGUGAGGCUGAUCCCAGAAGGCAGACGGAGAGAAGUGGUGGGCCAAGGAGGAACCCUGCAGACCAGCACCAGUGAAGGCUCAGGCAGAGGAGAGAGAGCCCACGAGGAGACAGGGCCCUAGGGACCCUGGGAAGUCCAGCCAAGCACAUCUGUGUUGCAGUCCCUGGGAUGAGCACAUUCAUUGAAGGCCAGAGGGAUCCCUGCUGUCGGAACCACAGCAAGCCAGAGAGGCCAAGGUUAUGAGGUGCGAGUGGUGCAGGAUUUUCAAUGUGCCCACACAUCUGAGUUCUCCAUCUGGGGCAGCUGAAGUUAGGGAAAAGAGAGGAAUCUCAUCAUGUCCCAAAAUGGUUCUUUAAGGCACCAGGUGUAGGCGUUCACAGGUGUCUGUGCCAUUUUUAAAGGCUGCAUUGGAAAAAUUCCAGGAUUAGUUUGUGUCAUCCUGUUUCUGUCAGUGGAAAGAGAUCUGAAAGACCUCUGAUUCCUAAUGGAAUCAUCAGGGCAAGUGCACCAAGGGCAAGAUUUCAAGUGGCUUUUAGUUGCUAAGACUAAAACUAAUGUCUACUUGAUGUGACUGGAUUUAGGCCAAAGGUAGAAGUUAGGACAGACUAUUUCCCAACAGCCAUUCAAAAUCAUAGAUGGUUAAUCAUGACUCCAAG
Molecule: long non-coding RNA, 773 nt
Filed under: Equus caballus (horse)
Lineage: Eukaryota; Metazoa; Chordata; Mammalia; Perissodactyla; Equidae
Description: lncRNA (ENSECAG00000059436.1)
Source: RNAcentral